GAUGAAGAACGCAGCGAAAUGCGAUACUUGGUGUGAAUUGCAGAAUCCCGUGAACCAUCGAGUCUUUGAACGCAAGUUGCGCCCGAAGCCACUAGGCCGAGGGCACGCCUGCCUGGGCGUCACACGUCGUUGCCCCCCCCCCAUCUACUCCUUCGGGAUUGCGGGGGGCGGAUGAUGGCCUCCCGUGCGCCUAGCCGCGCGGUUGGCAUAAAUACCAAGUCCUCGGCGACGCACGCCACGACAAUCGGUGGAUGCGAAACCUCGGUUGCCCGUCGUGUGCGUUCGUCGCGCAUCGAGGGCUCGAAAAAAUGCUCGGCUCCGGCUCGGCUUUCAACGCGACCCCAGGUCAGGCGGGGUUACCCGCUGAAUUUAAGCAUAUCAAUAAGCGGAGGA
Molecule: unclassified non-coding RNA, 393 nt
Filed under: soil metagenome
Description: partial contains 5.8S ribosomal RNA, internal transcribed spacer 2, and large subunit ribosomal RNA
Rfam family: 5.8S ribosomal RNA (bases 1-122)
Source: RNAcentral